GACGAACGCUGGCGGCGUGCCUAACACAUGCAAGUCGAACGGAAAGGCCCUGCUUUUGUGGGGUGCUCGAGUGGCGAAAGGGUGAGUAACACGUGAGUAACCUGCCCUUGAUUUUGGGAUAACUUCAGGAAACUGGGGCUAAUACCCGAUAGGAGCCCCUGCUGCAUUGUGGGGGUUGGAAAGUUUCGGCGGUUGGGGAUGGACUCGCGGCUUAUCAGCUUGUUGGUGGGGUAGUGGCUUACCAAGGCUUUGACGGGUAGCCGGCCUGAGAGGGUGACCGGCCACAUUGGGACUGAGAUACGGCCCAGACUCCUACGGGAGGCAGCAGUGGGGAAUAUUGCACAAUGGGCGGAAGCCUGAUGCAGCAACGCCGCGUGCGGGAUGACGGCCUUCGGGUUGUAAACCGCUUUCGCCUGUGACGAAGCGUGAGUGACGGUAAUGGGUAAAGAAGCACCGGCUAACUACGUG
Molecule: ribosomal RNA, 468 nt
Filed under: uncultured bacterium
Lineage: Bacteria
Description: partial 16S ribosomal RNA
Rfam family: Bacterial small subunit ribosomal RNA
Source: RNAcentral